Canis lupus familiaris (dog) is the source of this 2024-nucleotide long non-coding RNA. RefSeq lists it as uncharacterized. Lineage: Eukaryota; Metazoa; Chordata; Mammalia; Carnivora; Canidae. The record is from RefSeq and is a predicted model, not a curated record. The transcript has 3 exons.
UUCUUAUAAUGUUUUAACUAUUUUGUAUUUUGCAUCUAAAUCAUUAUUGCACCUGGAAUUAACUUUAAAAUAUCAUAUGAAAUUGGGGUACUGUGCCAGGCUUCUCCCCACUUCAGGGACUAGGGGCAUUUUUCUCUUCUGUAUAAUUCUUUGUGGGCUUUCUGGGUCAGUAGGGCCACAUGCAGCAAGUAAACAGGUGCAGUCUUUAUGGAAGAGGAACCCAGGCACCUGCUCGCUGAUUUCCCUCACAACCAAAAAACCUGGAUCAUCAUCAGAGACUCCAAACAUAGGUAUGCCCUAUCCUCUGGAUGGAACCACUUAGCUUAGGACAGACACCAAAGAAAAUAGUUUCUAAUUGAUACUUGGUCCCAAAAGACACCUUAGAAGUGUCCUAUGUUCUGUUCACCAUGCCUCCCAUCCAAGUAUGGUAUUACUUAGAAAGGGUAUUUGGAGUAAAUCAGGAGUCUGUGUUCAAGCUGCCCUAACUCAGAAUACAAACAAUACACAAUUAAUACAAGUUUAUACUCACUGAGGAUGAAAAAGUAAAUAGAAAUUAGCAAAGAGAAGGUAGGAAAAAUCACUUGUUUCAGUCCCCCAGAGACAAACACUUCUAGCCUCUUACUGAAUAUCUUUUCAGAGUAUAUAAAUAAAUAUAUAAAGAGAAGUAAAUACAUGAAUUUAAAAAUAUUACUUUCUGUGCUGUUUUUAAUCUUCUCCCCUACUUUUUGGACAUUUGGGUUGCUUCCAAUUCUUUGAUGUCCUAUAUGCAUUGAGAUAAACAUCACUUUCAUCACAUUUUUGUGAAGAUUUACUAUUAUUUCUUUAUUGUAAAUUCCUAGAAUGGUAGUGGCCUGAUCAAGGUGUAUAUUCAUAUUUAAAAUGUUUCCAAAUUGCCUUCUAGGAAAAUUCUGAAGUUUAUACUUCUUCCAGCCACACAUGAGAAUGCCUGUCAGUUCAUAACCCUCCAGGAAAAAAAAAAAAAAAGGUUGUAUGACUAAGCACCAACUCAGUUUCUCUUUAAAGACCACUUAUUCCUUCUAUGGAAGAUAUUUUAUUUUUAUUAUUUGGAUGCUCAGGAUUGAUUUUUCUUUUUAUGAGUAAAAAGGAUUUUAGUUCUCCACUCCUUAGGAGUACGUUUCACAUUGGAGCAAACUACUUCCAUCUGCUCCAGGACUGGACUCUUGUGAACACAUCAAUACAUAUUAUAUUCUCAUCCUCUAAUGACUGAGCAAGCCAGGAUUUUGAAAACAACAAAGAAAAUGAUGUCAGAGAAAAGGAGGGACAGAUGAGAAAGACAAGGACAGGAGGGGCAGGAUACAUCUAGCUGAGCCUGAAGCAAGAACUAUUGCUAGAAUUUUUACUAACAUGAGCCAAUCACUUUUUUUGACUUUUAACCAUCUAUCCAAAGUCACACAAGACUGCAAUAUGGAGGCCAACUCAAGGGAUUUUGGGAGAUCUUUCUGCUCCAUUAAAAUUUUGAGAAACAUAUUUUGGCUUCUGGAAAUUUCUGAAAAAUUCCUCAAAAUUAUGGUUUCCGUACUUUACCUCAGGGUUCUUUCCUAACUUUUUAAGAUGGAUUGAGAAAUUAGAGGGGGAAUCCUGAGAUCAUUUCCCAAGAAUCUUCAAAAAAGUCACCUCAGGCACUUUUUUUUUGAAUGCCGUAUUUUCCAGCAUCUAGUCUCAGCACAAAUCUCUUGCAUGUACAAUAAGCGUAAAUAACAAGUUCUAAAAUCUUGUACUUCCCUUUAAAAGGAUGGAAUGCCCCUGGCGCACACAACCAAUAAAUACCCUUUGUAGCGAUUCCUUAGGUGCUGAAUUUUGGGAAGCCAAAUCCUGAUCAUUGUCAACAUGUUCUUUUGAAGUAAUGAUUUAUAUGGUAUAUUGUCAGGGUUUUAAUGAUCAAAGGUAACAAUGUUUUAUUUCUUUCGUACUCUUUGUUUGAAGAAAUGUAAAAACCAGCUGGUGUUAGCUGCACAGCUUGAACCGCCCACCCCCUAGGAAGAAUUUACACGUUUAAAGUAUUG